RNAcentral lists this long non-coding RNA (462 nucleotides) under Gossypium raimondii (Peruvian cotton). Its description in RNAcentral is "long non-coding RNA (GRAI_LNC001101)". Lineage: Eukaryota; Viridiplantae; Streptophyta; Magnoliopsida; Malvales; Malvaceae. The record is from RNAcentral.
UAGUUUCAAAAGAAAUUUCAGUUUAAAAUACCGUAGUCAUUUGAUAGUGUGAUGAGCUUUUCUGAAGAAUCCCGAGCUCGUAAGAACCUCAAAAUCUAUAAAACAAAAGCAACCAAAACAAAUACACAGUAAGCUAUUUAAAGCUUAGUAAGUCAUAAGCUUAAGCAUAUUUAUUAUUCAUAACAUAUAACAUUUAACUAAUAUAACCUAUAUUAUAUACCAUACCAUAAAUAAAGACAUCAUCCAUUAUAAUUUCAUACCUUGAUUUCAAACUCAAGCUAUAUAAUCUAAAAUAAACUUAUAUAUAAUUAUAACCUUUCCAUUGAACAACAUUUAAUUCAACAAGGGCCGAAUCAACAGCUUAUAUACAUAUAUAUGGAUUUAGUUAAUUCAAAUGCCAUUUUCACAUACUUUCCAUAAUUAUAAAUAACAACUUAACCUAUUUGUAAACAUACAUUUAAC